Cinara cedri is the source of this 228-nucleotide non-coding RNA. The record is from the annotation of a GenBank genome assembly. Lineage: Eukaryota; Metazoa; Arthropoda; Insecta; Hemiptera; Aphididae.
AGGUUUCAGAAACAGACAAAUUAUAUUUAUUCAAAAAUUAUUAUACUAAUUAGGUUUUUAUAAUAGGUUGUAAAAAUCAUUUAAAAUCAAUUAUAGUAACAUUUAGUAUAAAAAUCAUUAUUCCCCAGUUCCCAGUAAAUAUGCCACGCGGUUUUCUUUGGUGUUUACCGACAAUCAUUGGGAACACGCGGCUUCGGCCACACCAAAAUAUAGAAGAUAAGCGGCAAA